This 1097-nucleotide long non-coding RNA is filed under the name Equus asinus (donkey). Its description in RNAcentral is "lncRNA (ENSEASG00005033315.1)". Lineage: Eukaryota; Metazoa; Chordata; Mammalia; Perissodactyla; Equidae. The record is from RNAcentral.
GUUUGGUCGGCUUUAAAGAUUACCAAGCACACCAACAGGCAGAGAGAAGGAGGAAAGGGACUCUGGGUGAGGGCAACAGCCUAGAAAAAGACUCGCUGGCAGCAAAACCAUGUGUGGAUCGUUGUGUUCUCCUCCCGAGGCUGCUGGAACACAUUACCACACACUUGGUCCUGGUGGCUGCUGGCAUUCCUCGGCUUGUGGCCACGUCACUCCAUCUCUGGAUGCGUCUGUCUUCACAUGGCCUUCUCCUCUGCCUCUGUCUUAUAGGGAUACCUGUGAUUGCAUUUAGGGGGAUAUCGGGAUAAUCCAGGAUAAUCUCCCCAUCUCAACAUCCUUAACUCAAUCACAUGUUUUGCCGUGGAAGGUCUCUAAGAAAUUCAGAUUCAACCAGCCCAGCAUGGAGUCCGAGAAUCUGAAUUUCCUGAAUCCCCCGCCCCCAUACAUCCAUACCGUGCAACUAUAAAAGGAAUGUGACAGUCUCUAGGCACCGAGGUGGGUGAUGACAGGAAACCGACAUGUGCAUCUUUGUGUGAUCACUGCUCCAAGAUGAAGUUCAUGCUGAAACAUGGAAGGACUCACCCGAGGCCUCUGUAAGUUCCUGGACAGGACAGCGAAGACAGCUAACCAAGGGAAGCCCCUCCUGAACCUCACAUCACAGCAGCUGGUUCUGGAGCCAGGGGAGGCCCAGCCACCAAACCACGAGAGGGAAUCCUGGACUCAGGGAUGGCCCAGCGUGGCCCUUUCCAUGUUCUAGAGGGCUCUUUCCUUUCCAGUGUCAUGGGUACUUCUCCCAAGUGAUCUUUGAGUGUUCGCUUCCUCUUGGAGACACACAAAGGCAUGUCACCAGGUCAUCCUUCCUGCCCAGUGUCUUGUGUGAGCCAUCUUCUCACAUCCACCCCAUCUGCCACCCCAUCGUGUCCCCAUCCCAGCUCCCAGCCACAAAGUCGCAGAGCUGAUCAGCUGGGACUUGGACCCGGAAAAUUACAUGUUUAAAAAAAAGAGGACUCAGAAUGACACCCUAAGGGUUCAGUCUUUCCUCUCCAUUGUCAGAGCAGAUGGGGGAAAGGCUGCCCUCACGAAAGCCAGAUUAGUGGGAC